Saccostrea cuccullata (small rock oyster) is the source of this 697-nucleotide long non-coding RNA. RefSeq lists it as uncharacterized. The transcript has 5 exons. The record is from RefSeq and is a predicted model, not a curated record. Lineage: Eukaryota; Metazoa; Mollusca; Bivalvia; Ostreida; Ostreidae.
UGUGUCCAUGUUUUGCUAUGGGAAACCCCAAAUAUGUGGCAGAACAAAAAUUAAAAUAGAAGAUGCACAAUUGCAAUAUGUAAUAUAGAUUCUGUGAAAGUCAUCAAAUAUCACUCAGUGGUAUGAGAGGAAUUAGCGGAUAAGAGAUGGGUACACCAAAGCAUAACAGACAGACGGACAUACCGAUUACUGAAUAUAUCCUCCCGCUUAUCAAGCGGGGGGUAUAAUUAAUUACAUGCAUUCAUGCAUCAAUCUGUGUAAUGAAAAGAUAUUGCUUAAGAUAAUUUACAUUGAUGUUUUGCAUUUUUGUUUGUAAGAAUACAGGUAUUUUAUUUACAUAUUGUUUAAUUAUUUCAAUGUGUUAAAUGAAAAGUAAUUUUCUUUUUUGUUUAUCUAUUGCAGGUUAGAGUACAUUUUGAACAGCCAUCUCCAGGAUAUACUCUGAAGUCAGUGAUGUGCAAGUUCAAGGUUUGACUGUUCAGAAUUACUUUAAUGGUAAAGAAUGGGUGAAAAAAUUCUCACAUCAUGCUGCAUAACAGUACAUUUCAGCUGUAACAAAACAAAUUAUCUGAUGAAAGCUUCAACCACGAGAAUCUAAGGAAAGGAUGUCAAGUCCAAAGAGAAGGCCAUAUAACAAAUGGUUACUGAAUCCAUGAAGACUAGCUGGGAUUUGCAGUACUUUUCUACUCUUAUGAAC